GUCUCCAUCUUCACCUCCAUGUCUCCAUCUUCACCUCCAUGUCUCCAUCUUCACCUCCAUGUCUCCAUCUUCACUUCCAUGUCUCCAUCUUCACCUCUAUCCCUCCAUGUCUCCAUCUUCACCUCCAUGUCUCCAUCUUCACCUCCACGUCUCCAUCUUCACCUCCAUGUCUCCAUCUUCACCUCCAUGUCUCCAUCUUCACCUCCAUGUCUCCAUCUUCACCUCCAUGUCUCCAUCUUCACCUCCAUGUCUCCAUCUUUACCUCCAUGUCUCCAUCUUCACCUCCAUGUCUCCAUCUUCACCUCUAUCCCUCCAUGUCUCCAUCUUCACCUCCAUGUCUCCAUCUUCACCUCCAUGUCUCCAUCUUCACCUCCAUGCCUCCAUCUUCACCUCCAUGCCUCCAUCUUCACCUCUAUCCCUCCAUGUCUCCAUCUUCACCUCCAUGUCUCCAUCUUCACCUCCAUGUCUCCAUCUUUACCUCCAUGUCUCCAUCUUCACCUCCAUGUCUCCAUCUUCACCUCUAUCCCUCCAUGUCUCCAUCUUCACCUCCAUGUCUCCAUCUUCACCUCCAUGUCUCCAUCUUCACCUCCAUGUCUCCAUCUUCACCUCCAUGCCUCCAUCUUCACCUCUAUCCCUCCAUGUCUCCAUCUUCACCUCCAUUUCUCCAUCUUCACCUCCAUGUCUCCAUCUUCACCUCCAUGUCUCCAUCUUCACCUCCAUGUCUCCAUCUUCACCUCCAUGUCUCCAUCUUCACCUCCAUGUCUCCAUCUUCACCUCCAUGUCUCCAUUUUCACCUCCAUGUCUCCAUCUUCACCUCAUGUCUCCAUCUUCACCUCCAUGUCUCCAUCUUCACCUCCAUGUCUCCAUCUUCACCUCCAUGUCUCCAUGUCUCCAUCUUCACCUCCAUGUCUCCAUCUUCACCUCCAUGUCUCCAUCUUCACCUCCAUGUCUCCAUCUUCACCUCCAUGUCUCCAUCUUCACCUCCAUGUCUCCAUUUUCACCUCCAUGUCUCCAUCUUCACCUCCAUGUCUCCAUCUUCACCUCCAUGUCUCCAUCUUCACCUCCAUGUCUCCAUCUUCACCUCCAUGUCUCCAUGUCUCCAUCUUCACCUCCAUGUCUCCAUCUUCACCUCCAUGUCUCCAUCUUCACCUCCAUGUCUCCAUCUUCACCUCCAUGUCUCCAUCUUCACCUCCAUGUCUCCAUCUUCACCUCCAUGUCUCCAUCUCUCCAUAUUUCUUCUAUUCCUCCAGACAAACCUGUUCAGACCUACUGAAUAAUUGAGACUGUGCGUUUUAAUGAGCUGAAGGCAAACAUCAGCUCACGACUGAGCUGAACAACUGUACAGGUGUGUGUGUGUGUGUGUAUAUACAUGCAUAUAGUAUUAUUUGGUUAUAUGUGUGUGCACAAGUAGAAUGAAAUGGCGUGUUUAUAUGUAUGAGAGAGAGAAGUGGUGAAGUAUGCCGUUCAUUGGAGCAACAACAGAAUUCUUAAUUAUUCACUGAACCCUAUACUGCAGUCUGACAUAACUAUCUGCAAACCAGUAUGUGAGUUCAUAUCUCUAGUGCUGCCUGCAGUGUUUAGUACGCCUGAGAGAGGGAGAGAGAAAGAGAGAGGGGGGGGGGACCACACAGAACAGGCUUCCUAAACGAUCCACGAUCCAGCGAGUUUUAAUCCAGUCUGGAUGGAUCAAUAAGUCAUCAACAUUUAGUACAGUAUCGCACUUCAGCAGGCCUCAAUCGAUUAGCCUCCCUUGACAUAAUCCUCCUCUCGAUCUCGGUCUUCCCUCCUCCUCUCCCCCUAUCCUCUCUGCAGUGGCUCCAACAGCCUGUGGGCUUAUAAAAGGA
RNAcentral lists this long non-coding RNA (1844 nucleotides) under Oncorhynchus kisutch (coho salmon). RNAcentral's name for it is "lncRNA (ENSOKIG00005034616.1)". The record is from RNAcentral. Lineage: Eukaryota; Metazoa; Chordata; Actinopteri; Salmoniformes; Salmonidae.